GGCCCAGAGAUGUGUUGGUGUGGUCCAUGAGGCCCAGAGAUGUUUUGGUGUGGUCCAGGAGGCCCAGAUAUGUGUUGGUGGGGUCCAUGAGGCCCAGAGAUGUUUUGGUGUGGUCCAGGAGGCCCAGAGAUGCGUUGGUGUGGUCCAGGAGGCCCAGAGAUGCGUUGGUGGGGUCCAUGAGGCCCAGAGAUGUUUUGGUGUGGUCCAGGAGGCCCAGAGAUGUGUUGUGUGGUCCAGGAGGCCCAGAGAUGUGUUGUGUGGUCCAGGAG
This is a long non-coding RNA of Gasterosteus aculeatus aculeatus (three-spined stickleback), 269 nucleotides long. NCBI's taxonomy places the organism in Eukaryota, Metazoa, Chordata, Actinopteri, Perciformes, Gasterosteidae. The record is from Ensembl.